GAUGAACGCUGGCGGUGUGCCUAAUACAUGCAAGUCGAGCGAACAGACGAGGAGCUUGCGCCUUUGACGGUAGCGGCUGACGGGUGAGUAACACGUGGAUAACCUACCUAUAAGACUGGGAGAACUUCGGGAAACCGGUGCCGAUACCGGCUCAUAUAUUGAACCGCAUGGUUCAAUAGUGAAAGACGGUUUUGCUGUCCCUUAUAUAUGGAUCCGGGUCACAUUAUUUAGUUGGUAAGGGAUCCGCGUACCAAGGCAACGAUGCGUAGCCGACCUGAUAGGGUGAUCGGCCACACUGGAACUGAGACACGGUCCAGACUCCUACGGGAGGCAGCAGUAGGGAAUCUUGCGCAAUGGGCGAAAGCCUGACGCAGCAAUGCCGCGUGAGUGAAGAAGGUCUUCGGAUCGUAAAACUCUGUUAUUAGGGAAGACCAAAAGUGUACGUAAAUAUGCAUGUAUUGACGGUACCUAAUGAGUAAGCCACGGCUAACUUCGUG
RNAcentral lists this ribosomal RNA (497 nucleotides) under uncultured bacterium. Its description in RNAcentral is "partial 16S ribosomal RNA". It matches the Rfam family "Bacterial small subunit ribosomal RNA", at positions 28 to 507 of the family's 1533-position model. The record is from RNAcentral.